AAUUAGCACAACCAAAAUGUAAAUAGAUGCAUUGAUAUUCACUUAUUGCCUGUGUUACUGGAUUUAGUUUGCGUGGAUAAAGUCGAAAGAUAUUCUAUAAACAAAAAUGUUUUCGUUUGUAAAAAUAAAUUAAACCCUUUUCACCUUAUGUACUGGGCUGGCUAUCGCACAUCGCAUCCCAUCCAUUCACAUCUCCGGCUAUCUCAAAGCAGCGCUCGGCAGGAUGGAAAGUGAAUGCAGCGCAAAACAGAUAGAAAAAUCUGCAAGUAGCACACUGAUCUAAAAUAAGUAGAUGCAUCUUCAUUGACAUCUUUUGGAAGAUUUAGAUGUGUCGCCCCCCUCGGGAAUACUUGAAAUGUGUCGAUUUCUGAAUGCUGUUUGAUUAUCUAGGUGAAUGUGGGAACAAUAUUCAGUAAACACGACAGCACUGCAAUGUCAAAUGCAUCGAUCCAAGCGUCUCGUACAAUCGAACUGCUGCGGAAGAUAAAAAUAUAAUAAUUAAGGUACAAGAUAUCUUGUUACAGACUAAUAAUAAUAAAUAAAUGCCUCAUUUUUACGUUGAUUACGUCUCUUGGCACUCAAUGUUAAACUACAUAAUUCUAUUCUGUUUUAUUUUAUGUGAUUCGUUUAAAAUUUUGGUUCUUUAAUAACUUGGUUGUCUAAACAGUUUUAGCCAUGAUUUAUCCCAUAAUCCGAACAAAGUUCCGAGUCAAACUAUGACGGGCUGAAGGCGUUUAUUUGACAAGUGAAGAGCACGUUGUUCAGGAGCAUAUGCUUAUCGAUGCAUCAGCUUAAUAAGAUGCAGACAAAGGUUUUGUUAAACUCCUUUGUUAAGGAAUCAAUGCUUGUCGAAUUAAUUUCUUGUUUAACUUUUGAAAAGUGUUUUAAUUAGAAAUCCUCUAUAUAGAGAUGAGCGGAAGUUUUAUAUGACGAAUCGGCAACGCUGUUUGUUUUGUUUACAACUGCUUCCAACACUUGCCACAAAGCUGGAUGUUCAAACUUUGUGCGUGACUUUGUGUGGUGCAAGUUGUUUUGUUUACGAUUGCUAAUUAAUGGUCGAGCUUUAUUUUACAAAAUUUUGGAAAAAAUAGCAGCGCAAUCGAAAAAAUAUGAAAUGCAUUGCAAAGAGCAGCGCAAAUCAUAUCAGUAGAAGUGAAUCAAGCAGCAGCAAUGGAAGGUUUUACGAGAAGAGAAGAUACAAAAGUUUCUACAUGAACAUGAGUACAUGUCGAAAGCAUAAUUAAUUAAUUAUAUCUUUUUUAUUACAAUUUAAUAUGCCAUCAAUUCAUCGAUAUCAAAAGUAAAUAAUUAUAAUUUGUUCAAUUCUGAUUCCAAUACCGUUCGAACGACGCAUUCCUACAAACAAUAAACAUGUUCGUUUGGCUCACACUUUGACAUUUCUCUCUGCACGAUUGGCUCACAAUGGCCGCUUCCGCAGAUCUCUAUAAUGUAGGAUUACUAGUUUUAAUUUAUCAUUGUUGAUACCGAUGAGGAAAGUCGAACAUUGACUAUUUUCUCAAUAGGCUCCUAAAGUCCUAUCGGGAUUCUUGUUUUAAACCACAAUAUAUGGUUCAAGAGUACAUAUUUACUCAUUUUUUGACGUUUUUAUUAACCGUAGUUGAAAAUAUAUAAUUCAAGCAUAAUUUUUCAAAUCGACGUAUCUAACUUUUUCACUGAUCUGAGUAAAUUCAUGGUCAAUGUUGACGACCAUUUCACUAAAAUAGUUUUUUUUUUAAAAAGACUUUUCCUAAGUUUUUUCGUGCUUAACAUCACCAGGGAUAUAGCACGCACUAGGUAAGAAACAAAACCUACUCAUUCCAUAUCAUUUUCACAAUGAAUUUUGACAAAAAUACACAUACACCGGGUGGGUUAGAGAUACGUCAUGCCAGAUACGUCGCUUUUGUAUGGUGCCAGUUUGGUGUAUCUGUUACUUUUGAUUUUGGCUAGAUACGUCGUUUGGUUUUCUCAUAUAUAAAAACGGUGUAUCUAUCAGUUAAGUUGUAAA
This is a long non-coding RNA of Aedes albopictus (Asian tiger mosquito), 2005 nucleotides long. RefSeq lists it as uncharacterized. The transcript has 2 exons. Lineage: Eukaryota; Metazoa; Arthropoda; Insecta; Diptera; Culicidae. The record is from RefSeq and is a predicted model, not a curated record.